This 485-nucleotide ribosomal RNA is filed under the name uncultured bacterium. Its description in RNAcentral is "partial 16S ribosomal RNA". It matches the Rfam family "Bacterial small subunit ribosomal RNA", at positions 28 to 523 of the family's 1533-position model. The record is from RNAcentral.
GACGAACGCUGGCGGCGUGCUUAACACAUGCAAGUCGAACGGUGAAAGCGGAGCUUGCUCCGCUGGAUCAGUGGCGAACGGGUGAGUAACACGUGGGCAACCUGCCCCUCACUUCGGGAUAACUCCGGGAAACCGGGGCUAAUACCGGAUAUGACCUCAUUGGGCAUCCUUGGAGGUGGAAAGUUUUUCGGUUAGGGAUGGGCCCGCGGCCUAUCAGCUUGUUGGUGGGGUAGUGGCUCACCAAGGCGACGACGGGUAGCCGGCCUGAGAGGGCGACCGGCCACACUGGGACUGAGACACGGCCCAGACUCCUACGGGAGGCAGCAGUGGGGAAUAUUGCGCAAUGGGCGAAAGCCUGACGCAGCAACGCCGCGUGCGGGAUGACGGCCUUCGGGUUGUAAACCGCUUUCAGCAGGGAAGAAGCCGCAAGGUGACGGUACCCGCAGAAGAAGCACCGGCUAACUACGUGCCAGCAGCCGCAGUAA